CUACGGGAGGCUGCAGUGGGGAAUAUUGGACAAUGGGGGAAACCCUGAUCCAGCAAUGCCGCGUGUGUGAAGAAGGCCUGCGGGUUGUAAAGCACUUUCGGUUGGGAGGACUGCUUCUAGCACUAAUAUUGUUGGAAGUUGACGUUACCUUCAGAAGAAGCACCGGCUAACUCCGUGCCAGCAGCCGCGGUAAUAUGGAGGGUGCAAGCGUUAAUCGGAAUUACUGGGCGUAAAGCGCGCGUAGGCGGCUAGAUCAGUCGGGUGUGAAAGCCCCGGGCUUAACCUGGGAACUGCAUCCGAUACUGUAUAGCUUGAGUACAGGAGAGGAGAGUGGAAUUCCACAUGUAGCGGUGAAAUGCGUAGAUAUGUGGAGGAACACCAAUGGCGAAGGCAGCUCUCUGGCCUGAUACUGACGCUGAGGUGCGAAAGCGUGGGGAGCAAACAGGAUUAGAUACCCCUGUAGUC
This 465-nucleotide ribosomal RNA is filed under the name uncultured bacterium. RNAcentral describes it as "partial 16S ribosomal RNA". It matches the Rfam family "Bacterial small subunit ribosomal RNA", at positions 339 to 795 of the family's 1533-position model. The record is from RNAcentral.